GUGAUUGUUGUACCGUAAACUUUCAUUUGAGAGAUCUGUAUACAAAAGGAGCAUCAAAGAUUCUAAUGGCAAAGUUGUUGACAUUCUCAUACCAAGACUGGCAAGACAUCUAUGAACUGGGCUCAUCUCAACACUGUAGCCGAACCAAAUGCGCCAGCCAAACAGCAUGGAGCCGAUGUGAUGUGCAUUAGAAAAUGUCUUUAGAUGCCGCUUUAGAGCCAUUCUCAUGCAGUCAAGAGACAACAAGAAAGAGCAGCAAUAAU
Long non-coding RNA from Papaver somniferum (opium poppy), 263 nucleotides. RefSeq lists it as uncharacterized. The transcript is spliced from 4 exons. The record is from RefSeq and is a predicted model, not a curated record. NCBI's taxonomy places the organism in Eukaryota, Viridiplantae, Streptophyta, Magnoliopsida, Ranunculales, Papaveraceae.